Molecule: ribosomal RNA, 440 nt
Filed under: uncultured Oscillospiraceae bacterium
Lineage: Bacteria; Bacillati; Bacillota; Clostridia; Eubacteriales; Oscillospiraceae
Description: bacterial SSU rRNA
Rfam family: Bacterial small subunit ribosomal RNA
Source: RNAcentral
CCUACGGGAGGCUGCAGUGGGGAAUAUUGGGCAAUGGACGCAAGUCUGACCCAGCGACGCCGCGUGAAGGACGAAGGCAUUCGUGUUGUAAACUUCUUUGGAGAGGGACGAAAUUGACGGUACCUCUCGAACAAGCCACGGCUAACUACGUGCCAGCAGCCGCGGUAAUACGUAGGUGGCAAGCGUUAUCCGGAAUUACUGGGUGUAAAGGGCGCGCAGGCGGCCUUGCAAGUCGGAUGUGAAAGAUCAAGGCUCAACCUUGACAGGUCAUCCGAAACUGUAAGACUUGAGUGUCAGAGGGGAAAGUGGAAUUCCUAGUGGAGCGGUAAAAUGCGCAGAUAUUAGGAGGAACACCGGUGGCGAAGGCGACUUUCUGGCUGACAACUGACGCUGAGGCGCGAAAGCGUGGGGAGCAAACAGGAUUAGAUACCCCAGUAGUC